Pteropus vampyrus (large flying fox) is the source of this 122-nucleotide ribosomal RNA. NCBI's taxonomy places the organism in Eukaryota, Metazoa, Chordata, Mammalia, Chiroptera, Pteropodidae. The record is from Ensembl.
GUUUAAGAGCCAUCUUUCACCCUGAACAAGCCCGAUCACGUCUGAUCUCGGAAGCUAAGCAGGGUCGGGCCUGGUUAGAACUUGGAUGGGAGACCACCUAGGAAGACCAAGUGCUGUAGGCA